GGGGGCGAAAUAGGAUCGACGUGCCUAAUAAAAAGAUUGCUUUUACUCGGGAUGAUUCCGCCGAUGGCUUUUGCCAUAUGGGUCAAAACAAAGAAACGCAAACGAUAAUAAUCGUUCUGGAGGUCGUUUAGCUUUAGCAGCUUAACCCUUACGCGGCUGGAUGGUUUGCCGGGCAACAGAAAAACCCUCACGU
RNAcentral lists this transfer-messenger RNA (193 nucleotides) under Rickettsia endosymbiont of Ixodes scapularis. It matches the Rfam family "Alphaproteobacteria transfer-messenger RNA", at positions 148 to 355 of the family's 355-position model. From Rfam's summary of the family: Bacterial tmRNA, also known as 10Sa RNA or SsrA, is named for its dual tRNA and mRNA-like properties. Its role is to liberate the mRNA from a stalled ribosome. The record is from RNAcentral. Lineage: Bacteria; Pseudomonadati; Pseudomonadota; Alphaproteobacteria; Rickettsiales; Rickettsiaceae.